AUGUGCACACUAAUGUAUGUAUUUUCCACCGACUCUAAGUUAAUUUUUUAUAUUUUUCUUCUUUCUUCUUUUAAGCAUUAUGAAAUAAUUUCAUCAUCUGAAAAGAAUACUGGAUUCCUUCCAUUAACUGACAAGCAGAUCCAGCCCGCAAAGCAGCAGCAAACUAUCAUAGCGUCCUUCUGCCAGAGAAUUCACCAGGUCAUCACACACCAGAGACUAGCUCGCAACAGCCCUGGCCUGGCUCAUUCACUAAAGGACACAUGGAGACGAUCCUCACUUUUGGGAUGAUGACACUGACGGCCAAAUGCCCAGCAGAGGUGAAUGGUGGGAGAGAAAUGCUGCGUGUCACUCCGAUGCGGAUGCUGGCAGAGGGGCCAAGGUAAGCUUGUUAGGGAGCGGCCGCGCUGCCGGCCCACCUCCUCCACGCUCGCUCCUGCC
This 438-nucleotide long non-coding RNA is filed under the name Struthio camelus australis. RNAcentral describes it as "lncRNA (ENSSCUG00000018815.1)". Lineage: Eukaryota; Metazoa; Chordata; Aves; Struthioniformes; Struthionidae. The record is from RNAcentral.